This 357-nucleotide RNase P RNA is filed under the name bacterium. RNAcentral describes it as "RNase P RNA component class A". It matches the Rfam family "Bacterial RNase P class A". From Rfam's summary of the family: Ribonuclease P (RNase P) is a ubiquitous endoribonuclease, found in archaea, bacteria and eukarya as well as chloroplasts and mitochondria. Its best characterised activity is the generation of mature 5'-ends of tRNAs by cleaving the 5'-leader elements of precursor-tRNAs. The record is from RNAcentral.
GGAGUGGGCCAGGCAGCCGCGGGAGCGAUCCCGAGGAAAGUCCGGGCACCACAGGGCAGGACGCCGGGUAACUCCCGGAGGUCGCGAGGCCAUGGAACGCGCUACAGAAAAGAACAGCCGGCACCAUGGGACCAUGUCCCAGAGGCAUGGUUCCGCCGGCAACGGUGAAACGGUGGGGUAAGAGCCCACCAGCGGCAUGGCAACAUGCCGGCUCAGGCAAACCCGUCCGGUGCAAGGAGAGAUGGACACACAGGGCUGCCCGGCCCGUCCGUCGGAUAUCCGCGCAAGCCUGCCGGGAACGGCUGGCUAAGACAGAUGGCUGCAGAGACAGAACCCGGCUUAUGGCCCACUCCGAUU